GUCGAGCGACUGGCUUAAGAGCUUGCUCUUAUGAAGUUAGCGGCGGCCGGGUGAGUAACACGUGGGUAACCUGCCCCUACGACUGGGAUAACUCCGGGAACCCGGGGCUAAUACCGGAUAACAUUUCGAACCGCAUGGUUCGAAAUUGAAAGGCGGCUUCGGCUGUCACUUAUGGAUGGACCCGCGUCGCCUUAGCUAGUUGGUGAGGUAACGGCUCACCAAGGCAACGAUGCGUAGCCGACCUGAGAGGGCGAUCGGCCCCCCUGGGACUGAGACACGGCCCACACUCCUACGGGAGGCAGCAGUAGGGAAUCUUCCGCCAUGGACGAAAGUCUGACGGAGCCACGCCGCGUGAGUGCUGAAGGCUUUCGGGUCGUACAACUCUGUUGUUAGGGAAGAACAAGUGCUAGUUGAAUAAGCUGGCACCUUGACGGUACCUAACCCCAAAGCCACGGCUAACUACGUGCCAGCAGCCGCGGUAAUACGUACGUGGCAAGCGUUAUCCGGAAUUAUUGCGCGUAAAGCGCGCGCAGGUGGUUUCUUAAGUCUGAUGUGAAAGCCCCCGGCUCACCCGUGGAGGGUCAUUGGAAACUGGGAGACUUGA
Molecule: ribosomal RNA, 604 nt
Filed under: uncultured Bacillus sp.
Lineage: Bacteria; Bacillati; Bacillota; Bacilli; Caryophanales; Bacillaceae
Description: bacterial SSU rRNA
Rfam family: Bacterial small subunit ribosomal RNA
Source: RNAcentral